RNAcentral lists this ribosomal RNA (434 nucleotides) under uncultured Lachnospiraceae bacterium. Its description in RNAcentral is "partial 16S ribosomal RNA". It matches the Rfam family "Bacterial small subunit ribosomal RNA", at positions 341 to 792 of the family's 1533-position model. Lineage: Bacteria; Bacillati; Bacillota; Clostridia; Lachnospirales; Lachnospiraceae. The record is from RNAcentral.
ACGGGAGGCAGCGGUGGGGAAUAUUGCACAAUGGGGGAAACCCUGAUGCAGCAACGCCGCGUGAGUGAAGAAGUAUUUCGGUAUGUAAAGCUCUAUCAGCAGGGAAGAUAAUGACGGUACCUGACUAAGAAGCUCCGGCUAAAUACGUGCCAGCAGCCGCGGUAAUACGUAUGGAGCAAGCGUUAUCCGGAUUUACUGGGUGUAAAGGGUGCGUAGGUGGCAGGGCAAGUCAGAUGUGAAAGACCGGGGCUCAACUCCGGGGCUGCAUUUGAAACUGUCUUGCUAGAGUGCAGGAGGGGCAAGCGGAAUUCCUAGUGUAGCGGUGAAAUGCGUAGAUAUUAGGAGGAACACCGGUGGCGAAGGCGGCUUGCUGGACUGAAACUGACACUGAGGCACGAAAGCGUGGGGAGCAAACAGGAUUAGAUACCCUGGUA